RNAcentral lists this ribosomal RNA (519 nucleotides) under uncultured microorganism. Its description in RNAcentral is "bacterial SSU rRNA". It matches the Rfam family "Bacterial small subunit ribosomal RNA", at positions 9 to 524 of the family's 1533-position model. The record is from RNAcentral.
GAGUUUGAUCCUGGCUCAGGAUGAACGCUGGCGGCGUGCCUAACACAUGCAAGUCGAACGGAUCCAUAUUGAAACCUAGUGAUGUAUGGAUUAGUGGCGGACGGGUGAGUAACGCGUGGAUAACCUGCCGUAUACAGGGGAUAACACUUAGAAAUAGGUGCUAAUACCGCAUAAGCGCACGGUUCCGCAUGGAACAGUGUGAAAAACUCCGGUGGUAUACGAUGGAUCCGCGUCUGAUUAGCCAGUUGGCGGGGUAACGGCCCACCAAAGCGACGAUCAGUAGCCGGCCUGAGAGGGUGAACGGCCACAUUGGGACUGAGACACGGCCCAAACUCCUACGGGAGGCAGCAGUGGGGAAUAUUGCACAAUGGGGGAAACCCUGAUGCAGCGACGCCGCGUGAGUGAAGAAGUAUUUCGGUACGUAAAGCUCUAUCAGCAGGGAAGAAAAAAGUACCUUUGGACUUUGGACGGUACCUGACUAAGAAGCCCGGCUAACUACGUGCCAGCCGCCGCCGUAAG